Molecule: microRNA, 22 nt
Filed under: Melibe leonina
Lineage: Eukaryota; Metazoa; Mollusca; Gastropoda; Nudibranchia; Dendronotidae
Description: mle-miR-12101-3p
Source: miRBase by way of RNAcentral
UUUGUCUCUCUCAUGCCUGUUC